Molecule: long non-coding RNA, 127 nt
Filed under: Monodelphis domestica (gray short-tailed opossum)
Lineage: Eukaryota; Metazoa; Chordata; Mammalia; Didelphimorphia; Didelphidae
Description: lncRNA (ENSMODG00000043201.1)
Source: RNAcentral
GAUCCUGGAACUCAGCCUGGAGGAACUCCCUCAGACAGCUUCCUUGAGAUGGUCACGUGCUACUUCCCUCCAAUUCACAGUGGAAACCCUCUCUUUUAAGAGAUAUGCAUAGUCCAGCAACUCAAAU